GAUGAAGAACGUAGCGAAAUGCGAUAAGUAAUGCGAAUUGCAGAAUUUCCGUGAGUCAUCGAAUCUUUGAACGCACAUUGCGCCCCUUGGUAUUCCAUGGGGCAUGCCUGUUCGAGCGUCAUUUGUACCUUCAAGCUCUGCUUGGUGUUGGGUGUUUGUCUCGCCUCUGCGUGUAGACUCGCCUCAAAAUAAUUGGCAGCCGGCGUAUUGAUUUCGGAGCGCAGUACAUCUCGCGCUUUGCACUCAUAACGACGACGUCCAAAAGUACAUUUUUACACUCUUGACCUCGGAUCAGGUAGGGAUACCCGCUGAACUUAAGCAUAUCAAUAAGCGGAGGA
This 338-nucleotide unclassified non-coding RNA is filed under the name soil metagenome. Its description in RNAcentral is "partial contains 5.8S ribosomal RNA, internal transcribed spacer 2, and large subunit ribosomal RNA". The stretch from base 1 to 121 matches the Rfam family "5.8S ribosomal RNA", at positions 35 to 154 of the family's 154-position model. The record is from RNAcentral.